GCGUUUUGGAACGUUCAGAUGGAAAAAGGAUAUUUAGAACAAAUAUGCCUCACUAACAUGUACAGUAACGAAUCACUUCGGAUCUAUUCAGUUCAUUUCUAGCUGCAACGUUCGGAAACCACACGUGCGUUUUCUCCAAAAAAAGAAUUAGUUGGGACAUGGACUUACAACUGGGUUCCCCAACUUCUAUUUAUCCGCUCAAGAAAAAAAUUGUCCAGCAGCUAUCUAGAUGAUCCCUGGACUACAAGGUAUCGAAAGGGUUCCACAGGGAUGCUGGCCCAUAUUGACUCCAAUGCUUCCCACAGUUGUGUCAAGUUGGCUGGAUGUCCUUUGGGUGGUGGACCAUUCUUAAUACACAAGGGAAACUGUUGUGAUUGAAAAACCCAGAAGCAUUGUAGUUCUUGACACUCUUACCGGUGCGUCUGGCUGCUACUACUAUACACCAUUCAAAGGCACUUAGAUAUUUUGUCUUGCCCAUUCAGCCUCUGAAUGGCACACAAGCACAAAUGGAUUUAACCAGUGACAUCAAUAAGGGAUCAUAGCUUUCACCUGGAUUCACCUGGUCAGUCUGUCACGGAAAGAGAAGGUGUUCUUAAUGUUUUGUGCACUCAGUGUCUACUAUUUUUCUUAAUAGUGUGCUUCUCUAAAUAUUUGUGAGUGAGUUGAGUGUUUGUUUUGUUUCUGGUUUUGAUAUUGUCCUUUGUACAGUACAUAAGAGUAAGUGUAUUAAUACAUUGUUACAGAUUAAAGCCUUUGACAAUGUUUAAAUAAAUAAAAUAUAUGAGUAGAUACUCAGACAAGCACUUUUCAAUAAAUGUUGUCAAGUAAUUGAAUCGUACAACUGA
Oncorhynchus masou masou (cherry salmon) is the source of this 845-nucleotide long non-coding RNA. RefSeq lists it as uncharacterized. The record is from RefSeq and is a predicted model, not a curated record. NCBI's taxonomy places the organism in Eukaryota, Metazoa, Chordata, Actinopteri, Salmoniformes, Salmonidae. The transcript is spliced from 2 exons.